AAAUAAGAAGUAAAAAAUUACAUUUAGUUUCGACCUAAAAAUUGGUAUAAAAUACCCUUAUUUA
Molecule: transfer RNA, 64 nt
Filed under: Cybister japonicus
Lineage: Eukaryota; Metazoa; Arthropoda; Insecta; Coleoptera; Dytiscidae
Description: tRNA-Arg
Source: RNAcentral